This is a long non-coding RNA of Megalobrama amblycephala (Wuchang bream), 293 nucleotides long. RefSeq lists it as uncharacterized. The transcript is spliced from 3 exons. NCBI's taxonomy places the organism in Eukaryota, Metazoa, Chordata, Actinopteri, Cypriniformes, Xenocyprididae. The record is from RefSeq and is a predicted model, not a curated record.
GAUACCAAUAGACCUCCAGAAGCUACUGGCACCGAUACCACCAGACCUCCAGAAGCUACUGGCACCGAUACCACCAGACCUCCAGAAGCUACUGGCACCGAUACAACAGGCUCAUCAGAAGCCACAAGACCCCAGGGCCAGAAGGCCAAAAAAAGACACAGAAAUCUAGUCCAACAGAGGGGAGCCAGCAAGAUGAAGCAAAAAAAAAAAGUAUGAGUGUCCAGAAUGCUGUAGGAGAGCCAGGGAAAACAACUUUGACUACUCCAAGAUUUUGAAAAGAAGAGUGAGAGAGG